GUAGGGAAUAUUGCACAAUGGGCGAAAGCCUGAUGCAGCAACGCCGCGUGCGCGAUGAAGGCCUUCGGGUUGUAAAGCGCUUUUCGGGGGGAUGAGGAAGGACAGUACCCCCGGAAUAAGUCACGGCUAACUACGUGCCAGCAGCCGCGGUAAGACGUAGGUGGCGAGCGUUAUCCGGAUUUACUGGGCGUAAAGCGCGUGCAGGUGGUUUGAUAAGUCGGGCGUGAAAUCUCCUGGCUCAACUGGGAGAGGCCGUUCGAUACUAUCAGACUUGAGGGCAGCAGAGGGAGGUGGAAUUCCGGGUGUAGUGGUGAAAUGCGUAGAUAUCCGGAGGAACACCGGUGGCGAAGGCGGCCUCCUGGACUGCCCCUGACACUCAGACGCGAAAGCUAGGGGAGCGAACGGGAUUAGAAACCCGAGUAGUCC
Molecule: ribosomal RNA, 426 nt
Filed under: uncultured bacterium
Lineage: Bacteria
Description: bacterial SSU rRNA
Rfam family: Bacterial small subunit ribosomal RNA
Source: RNAcentral